RNAcentral lists this ribosomal RNA (1986 nucleotides) under human gut metagenome. RNAcentral describes it as "bacterial LSU rRNA". It matches the Rfam family "Bacterial large subunit ribosomal RNA", at positions 831 to 2841 of the family's 2925-position model. The record is from RNAcentral.
AAUCGAACCCGGAGAUAGCUGGUUCUCCUCGAAAUAGCUUUAGGGCUAGCCUCGUUUUAGUCUUAUGGAGGUAGAGCACUGAAUUUCCGCGGGGGCGUCAAAGCUUACCAAAGAAUAUCAAACUCCGAAUGCCAUGUAGAUGAUGAUCGGGAGUCAGACUGCACGAGAUAAGUUGGGCAGUCAAAAGGGAAAGAGCCCAGACCUGCAGCUAAGGUCCCAAAGUGCGUGUUAAGUGGAAAAGGAUGUGGGAUUUCGAAGACAACUAGGAUGUUGGCUCAGAAGCAGCCAUACAUUCAAAGAGUGCGUAACAGCUCACUAGUCGAGAGUCCCUGCGCCGAAAAUGUCCGGGGCUGAAACACAACACCGAAGCUGUGGAAUCAUACCUAGUAUGAUUGGUAGAGGAGCAUUCUUAAGACCGACGAAGCUGUACCGGUAAGGAGCAGUGGAGGGAUAAGAAGAGAGAAUGCCGGAAUGAGUAGCGAGAGGAAGGUGGGAAUCCUUCCGGCCGAAUAUCUAAGGUUUCCAGAGUAAAGCUGAUCUGCUCUGGGUAAGUCGGGGCCUAAGGCGAGGUCGAAAGACGUAGUCGAUGGAUAACAGGUGGAGAUUCCUGUACUAUGUGUACCCAGAAAUGUGGGGACGCAUGUGGAGAGCACGAGCCGGGAAAGAGAAGACCGGUACAAGCGGGGUAGGAGUAAGGACAGCAAAUCUUCCUUACAAUCCGAAGACGUAAUGUGGACCGAACCAAAGUAGGGAAGCGUGUGAGCCAUGUGCCAAGAAAAGCCGCUAUUGUGAUACACAUACCCGUACCGUAAACCGACACAGGUGGAUGAGGAGAGAAUCCUAAGGCCGACGGAAGAAGCAUUGUUAAGGAAUUCGGCAAAAUGACCCCGUAACUUCGGGAGAAGGGGUGCCUGCGAGAGCAGGCCGCAGAGAAUAGGCUCAAGCAACUGUUUAGCAAAAACACAGGUCUAUGCGAAACCGAAAGGUGAGGUAUAUGGGCUGACGCCUGCCCGGUGCUGGAAGGUUAAGAGGAGAGGUUAGCGCAAGCGAAGCUUUGAAUUUAAGCCCCAGUAAACGGCGGCCGUAACUAUAACGGUCCUAAGGUAGCGAAAUUCCUUGUCGGGUAAGUUCCGACCCGCACGAAAGGCGUAAUGAUUUGAGCACUGUCUCGACAAUGCAUCCGGUGAAAUUGAAGUACCAGUGAAGAUGCUGGUUACCUGCGCCAGGACGGAAAGACCCCAUGGAGCUUUACUCCAGCUUGAUACUGGGAUUCGGUAUUGCAUGUACAGGAUAGGUGGGAGGCUAGGAAGUGAUAACGCCAGUUGUCACGGAGCCGCUGUUGGGAUACCACCCUUGCAGUAUUGGAUUUCUAACCUGCACCCAUGACCUGGGUGGGGGACAAUGUCUGGCGGGGAGUUUGACUGGGGCGGUCGCCUCCGAAAGGGUAUCGGAGGCGCUCAAAGGUUCCCUCAGAAUGGUUGGAAACCAUUCGAAGAGUGCAAAGGCAGAAGGGAGCUUGACUGCGACACCGACGGGUGGAGCAGGUACGAAAGUAGGACUUAGUGAUCCGGUGGUAUAAAGUGGGAUUGCCAUCGCUCAACGGAUAAAAGCUACCCUGGGGAUAACAGGCUUAUCACUCCCAAGAGUUCACAUCGACGGAGUGGUUUGGCACCUCGAUGUCGGCUCAUCGCAUCCUGGGGCUGUAGUAGGUCCCAAGGGUUGGGCUGUUCGCCCAUUAAAGCGGUACGCGAGCUGGGUUCAGAACGUCGUGAGACAGUUCGGUCCCUAUCCGGCGUGGGCGUAGGAUAUUUGAGAGGAGCUGUCCUUAGUACGAGAGGACCGGGAUGGACGGACCACUGGUGUAUCUGUUGUCGACCAACGGCAUGGCAGAGUAGCCAAGUCUGGAAGGGAUAAACGCUGAAGGCAUCUAAGCGUGAAGCCCCCCUCAAGAUGAGAUAUCCCUCCUUCGGGAGUAAGACCCCUUGA